AACAACAAACCUCUGUUUUGCUYUUCGAGCAGAGCAGCAGAAACCAUUCCUUUCACAGAUUAUUACAUGGAUCUCAAGACCAACAUGCCUUAAAACUGACAAAGGGAAGCAGUCUGCAGCCUCCAGCACCUCCCAUCUCACCCAGUCUGCAACACCAGUAACAGGCACAAAGGGCUGUCAGACUCAGCUGAAAAGCAUCUAGACCUUCAUCCACAGGAAGAAAGGUGAAUCUACCUUUAAUCAGACAAGAGAUAAAGAACUGCACAUAGUAAGUAUAGGCAGGUUACCAUCUUGCUCUAGGAUACCUACACCAGUGCCUGCAUUCUUGUUGAGUAAUAAUGAGAUACCAUAACCAAACAGUAGAAGAUGCAUGUCAGAUGGUUYUCCAAUAACAUUAGAAAAAAAGCAGCUGAUGUAUGGGAUAUUGAAG
RNAcentral lists this long non-coding RNA (430 nucleotides) under Dromaius novaehollandiae (emu). RNAcentral's name for it is "lncRNA (ENSDNVG00000016316.1)". The record is from RNAcentral. Lineage: Eukaryota; Metazoa; Chordata; Aves; Casuariiformes; Dromaiidae.